GUUUUUCCAGAUAGAUCGUCGUCAGACUCAGAAAUAGAGAUCUGUAAAUUUAAGAAGAAAAUUACGGUUUUGCAGAAUAUUCGAGUGCAAAAUUCAGAGGAAUCCAACCAGACUCUGACGAAACCACGGAUACAAAAAUAAACACAAUUAAAGCUUUGAGAAAUACAAAA
This is a long non-coding RNA of Cylas formicarius (sweet potato weevil), 170 nucleotides long. RefSeq lists it as uncharacterized. The record is from RefSeq and is a predicted model, not a curated record. The transcript has 3 exons. NCBI's taxonomy places the organism in Eukaryota, Metazoa, Arthropoda, Insecta, Coleoptera, Brentidae.